AGUUAAAACCUUUCGCGACACUUUGCCGCUCCAAAUGGUAAGCGUGUAUCUGCGGUUUCAAGAUUGACAUAGAUGUUUGAAGAAAAAACGUUUUUGAUUUGCUCAAAUUGUAAAGAAUUGACUUUCUUAUGAGUUACGGAAGAGGACCUCCUAAGACAGAAGGGAUGACAUCCCUAAAAGUGGAUAAUUUAACCUACAGAACCAGACCAGAAGAUCUAAGAAGAUCAUUUGACAAAUAUGGCGACGUUGGAGAUGUUUAUAUCCCACGCGAUCGCUUCACUAAAGAAAGUAGAGGAUUCGCCUUUGUCAGAUUUUAUGACAAAAGAGACGCCGAAGAUGCAAUGGAUGCUAUGGAUGGUGCUAUGAUGGAUGGAAGAGAGCUCCGGGUUCAGAUGGCUAGAUAUGGAAGACCAUCAAAUUCACGAGGUUACAACGAUCGCCGAAGAAAUAACUACGGCGGGCAUGGUGGUGGUGGUGGAGGCGGGCGUUCAAGGAAUAGAUCUAGAUCUAGGUCAAGAUCCAGAGACAGAUAUUCAAGGAGACGAAGGUCUCAUAGCAGAUCAAAAUCACGAAGCCGAUCACGGAGCAAGUCAAGAUCAAGAAGUGUCAGUCGUUCUAAGAGUCGAACACCAAAGAGUGAACCAAGGCAGUCGAGAAGUCGGUCACCAUCAAAAUCCCCAGAUAGAUCUCCAAAGGAUAAUGCCGAAUUUGAUUAAAGUGUUCUGUUAGUGCUUCCUGUGUAAACCACUGGUAUGAAAAUGUGGACAAGAAUAACGCUCUCUAUUAUAGAGAUAAAAACAGUUGAAACAGUCAGGAGCUGAGUAACGGGUAAUUGUGCUGUUUGCUGUAUAGUAAGCGGAGGUGACCACUGCUUGCAGUUUAUUCCCUGUUGUGGCCUGUUUGUUGGCAGUUGCUGAACAGAAGCAGUUUUCCUGUUAGCAGUGUCUUUCCUGAUUUUGCUGAAUUCCUGUAAAUUUUCAUUUGGGAAUCUAUUUCAUUUGAGAUCAACUUUUCCCAUAAAGCGGUCAAGAUGGUUUUACAUGAAUUUCAAUUUUUUAUAAAAUCAUAAAAAGAUACGCUUUGUCAGCAGAUCUAUCGCCUGUUAAGUCGAGUUUAGUUGAGUUUAGUUUGUGUCAUGCUUGCCUUGAUUUGGGUGCUGUCAGUAAAAAAUAUAAAGAGUACCCUGCAACAUUCGACAUGUUGUUCAGUAAUCAAAUUUUAAAAUUUAAUUAGGUGUGACAAGAGACUAAUUAAUUGGGUGUCAAAGAGAAUCAAAAGAACGUAGUAGCACAAUCAACUAAAAAAAAUUUCAUUGAAAUUUGAUCAUAUAUAUUGUCAUCCCACUUUGAUUUCGAAUAGAAUGUGAUUCAUGAGCUCUAGUGACUAAAGUUAGCACCUGAUUGAUCCACAGUAGGGGCCUACGAUGGCUCAGUGACCAAGACGUUGGCUCACUAACCUGGAGGUCUUGUGUUUGAUCCCUGUGUCGGCCUAGAAUGUUCAUCAGGAUUUCGAUCCUAGUUCUCUCUUAUUAGUUCAGGGGGAUGGUUAGCGCAAGAGCGUUGUAACUUAAAGUCUGUCAUUGAGUCAGCUGGCGUGGUUUCGAUUCUCAGGUUGUAUAUGACAAGGAGUAGGGUCGAAUGUCCAACCUCGUGGGUUUUCUCCUGGUCCUCCUGUUCCUUCCACUGCUAAAGACCCCUUUGCACAAGUGAAUUAUUGAAAUAAAAUUGAUCCAUGUUUUUGUCCUGAAAUGACCUAGUUUGUGUUGAGUGGACCUUAAACACCAUUUCUCUCUGCUCUGGCUGGAUUAAUGAAAACGGGCAUACACCAUACAUUGUGCUAUGAGGGAAAUAUUGCUUGGACAGUGGCGCUAUGACCUACUCUUAAAUCGAAAUGAUCUAGUUUGUCCAGAUUUCUCGCACAAUCCGAUUGACAUUAAAUUUAUACACAGUGUUUAAGAUCAUGAGACGAAGAAGCCUAUAGAUUUUCACUGAUUUCCAAUAACUACUGCCAGAGUUAUGGCCCUUGAUCACUUUGAAAAAUCUUGUGGACGCUCUAUAGGCUAAAGUUAAUAUCGGAUUGACUUUAUAUUUAUACACAGUGUUUAAGGUCAUGAGACAGAGAAUCCUAUUGAUUUUCACCGAUUUCCGAUAAUUACUGGCAGAGUUAUGGUCCUUGAUCACUUUAAAAAAUCUUGUGGCUAAAUUUAUACAGUGUUUAAGGUCAUGAGAUGCAGAUCCUAUUGACUUUCAGCGAUUUUCCUCUAAUUGCUGCCAGAGUUAUGGCCCUUGAUCACUUUGACAAAUCUUAUGGACACUCUAGAGGCUAAAGUUAAUAUCCGAUUUACUUUAAAUUCAUACACAGUGUUUAAGGUCAUCAGACAAAGAAGUGUAUUUAUUUUCAACGAUUUCUGAUAAUUACUGCCAGAGUUAUGGCCCUUGAUCACUUGUGGAUGCCCUAGAGGCUUAAGUUAAUAUCCGAUUGAAAUGUGGUCGUAUAUUGUUGUUGCCCCCGUCCGUCCUUAAUUGCUUGUGGACACUCUAGAGGCUAAAGUUAAUAUCCUAUUGACUUUAUAAAUUUAUACAGUGUUUGAGGUCAUCAGAUGAAGAAACCGAUUGAUUUUCAACAAUUUCUGAUAAUUACUGUCAACAGUUAUGGCCCUUGAUUACUUUGAAAAAUCUUGUGGAUGCUUUGGAGACAAUAGUUAUCAUCUGAUUGAUUUUAUAUUUAUACACCGUGUUUACGCCUAUAUAUAAUCAUUUCGAUUGUCUUUAGAUUGAUACGGGGGGUCACAGUGGGUAAGACGCUGGCUUGCUAGCCUGGAGGUCUGGUGUUCGAUCCCUGCAUUGGCCGAGAAAGUUCACCCAGAUUUUCCGGCGUGGUUCCCCCUUAUCAGUGAUGCAGGAUUGAGGGCCUGACAAGGACAGCUGUCUAGUCAUUCGGAUGAGACAAAAAAACGUGUACACAUUGGCGUGCGCGUAAAAGAUCCCUUGACAGUUGGAAUUCGAUAUAAGAGUAGGCUGUAGUGCUGCUGUUCGGGCAAAAUUUCCCUCAUAGCACACUGUAUGGCGUAUACCCGUCUUCAUUAGCCCAGUUCGGAGCAAAACAGUAGGACAUUAAACCCCAUUUCAUUUCAUCGUUCCACAAUGACGUUGAGCAGGAGUGAUUGAAUAAUUUGGCAUUAAAUGUGACUUUAGGAAGUGGACAUUUUUGGUUAUUACUUGAUUCUUUUAUUGCAGCACUGAGUGGUUUUAAAUUAUACUGUUCUAUUUAAGUAAUCUUCAUUGUGUAUUAAAGAUACACUAUGGGAGAUUAGAUAAAGAGCUUGCAGUUCUCACUAUGAUAGUUAAAAACUAGAUAAUAUAAAGGGCAUAUGCUUCGGUCAAAUUGCUUCAUUCUGAAUCGAGAUAGCGAUUCAAUUUUAAAAUCACUAUGGUUAGCACAUGCGCGCUGUAUCAUAAGGUCUGUCGUUGAGUCAACUGGCGAGGUCUUGAUUCCCCAGUUGUACGUGACGAGGAGUAGGGUUUUCUGCAAGUCGUCCGGUUGCCUUCCACUGCUAAAGACCUACGCGCAAGCGAAUUAUAGAAAUAAAAUUGAACCAUAUGUUAGUCCCGAAAUGACCUAGUUUGUGUUGAAUGGACGUUAAACCCCAUCUCUCUCUCUCCUCCAGUGCUUCACACUAAAUUGAAAUAAAUCGGUUAAAACUUG
RNA transcript from Patella vulgata (common limpet), 3705 nucleotides. It is a transcript of the gene named serine/arginine-rich splicing factor 2, with no coding region annotated. Lineage: Eukaryota; Metazoa; Mollusca; Gastropoda; Patellidae. The transcript is spliced from 3 exons. The record is from RefSeq and is a predicted model, not a curated record.